Molecule: transfer RNA, 86 nt
Filed under: Ralstonia mannitolilytica
Lineage: Bacteria; Pseudomonadati; Pseudomonadota; Betaproteobacteria; Burkholderiales; Burkholderiaceae
Description: tRNA-Phe(gaa)
Source: RNAcentral
CAUACGCUGGCGCAGGCCAUCCGCACCGCCGGCUGAACGCGGGCGCCCAUGAAAAAAGCCCCGAGGUUCGGGGCCUUGGCGGGUGC